CCUGGCGGCAAUAGCGCAGUGGAACCACCUGACCCCAUGCCGAACUCAGAAGUGAAACGCUGUAGCGCCGAUGGUAGUGUGGCAUU
RNAcentral lists this ribosomal RNA (86 nucleotides) under Aeromonas caviae. RNAcentral also lists the same sequence under 1 other name. Lineage: Bacteria; Pseudomonadati; Pseudomonadota; Gammaproteobacteria; Aeromonadales; Aeromonadaceae. The record is from RNAcentral.